ACACACACACACACACACACACACACACACACACACACACACACACACAACAAAACCUGUGGCAUUACGUUUGUCAACUACUCUUGAACAUGAGGCCUGCCCUGGAAUGGUUAAGAUACCCAGUGUCACUCCAUUGGAGAAAACUGAUUUUCCCUCUCCCAGCAGGUCUAAAUGACAGUUCAGUUGUUAGCCUUUACCCUAGUGGCUAGAAUUUCAUUCAUUCAUUUUUUAAAAUAUAGCAAUAAAAUAUAAGAUUAAAAAAACUAUCACGUCAAAGUUGGACAAGACGAACCAACAGAAGGAAAAGAGCCCAAGAGAAGGCACAAGAGUGAGAGAGACUCUCAUUCACAUACUCAGGAGUCCUACAAAAACACUAAACUGGAAGCCAUAUUAUGAGCACAGAGGACCUGGUACAGACCCAUGCAGGCCCUGCGCAUGGCGCUUCAGUCUCUCUGAGUUCCUAUGAGUUUUGCUUAUGUUGAUUGAGAGGGCUCUGAUUUCUUGGAGUCCUCUGUCACCUCUGACUCUUACACUCUCUGCCUCCUCUUCUGUGGAGUUUCCUGAGGUGUAAGGAGAGGGGUUUUUAUUUAGCCUGCUUUCUUAUAGCACUGGGGACCACCAACCCAGGAAUGGCACUACUCACAGUGGAACUCCCACGUCAAUCACUGAGAAGAUGUCCUACAGGUUUGCCUACAGCCCAGUUUAUGGAGAGUUUUCUCAGUUGAGACUCCCUCCUCUCCAGUGACUCUAGCUUGUGUCACACUGACAUAGAACUAGCCAGGACAGGUGGAAAGCACUACCUUUUUGCAUACCUGUACACUCAACACCCUAGGGCACUGGGGAGUCCUAUCACUAAAACAGAAGGAACUCUUGCAUGCCUGACAUUUCCCAGACUUCAGGACCAUGAAAGUCCCUCUCAGGUCCCUUGGUAGCACUUCUUAGAGAAGCCAAUGAGGUACGCAGUACUCACACGGAUGGCUGGGUCAGUCCCUAGAACCCUGAUGCAACCUGAUCCUGCUCACUUCCUAAGUUGGGACCCUUGCUUGCCCACAGAAGGCCAGUGCCCCCUCGAGCUGUCCACAACCUCAGAGGCUCAGGGCAUCAAAGCUUUCAGGAAGGGUGGUCAAGAUAGUCCUAGAAUCCUAAGCUAGCCUAUGCUGCCUAUCACCCACCCCCCAAGCCUGGGGAGAGCAGCUAUCCUGGGGCCUAGAUGAUGCUUCAGAUCUAAUGAGAAGUGCAAGCAGUUUCAUUAAGAAGUCAUUGAGAACGUCUUUUUAAGAAGAACAUUUGUGGUGCUUUCUGAGUCUGAUUUCAUGGUAGUGCACAGGAGACUGGGGAAUAGUGGGGAAAGGCCAUUACCCCUAGGUUGACCCCAAUGGAAGGGUCCCCAGAAGGUAACACCUGCCUCUUCUAAACAACUCUUGGGUGACUCUCCUUCUAGUCCUGGUGAAUGACCCCUUGGAGAACCCCUGACACAAAGCCUUCUUCCCCACAAGGAGGCCUGGAAUGCUUGACAUGGCAUGCUUCUGUGUAGCCAGUGGUGGGUAGCCACUCCGUGUGGCUCUCACUACUCACCUGCCCUGGGUGCCAUGCUCUGCUCUGGCUUCAGAUGACACACCCACUAUGGCCUCCAGGCCCUGUUGCCAAUGCUUCCUUCUGAUACACAGGAUGGCUAUCCAAGGUUACUAGCUCCCUUUCUGCUCACUGGGACGGGGAGCUCCCAGGAAGAUGACAGGAGCAAACACUUGGAUUUCAGGUACUAGCCAGGAGUGUGGGGAGUGUGUCCUGUGGGAAUUUGGAGACAUGGGCAGAGAGAGCUGGUACUGAGUCCCUCCCACUCCCAUGGACUCCCACAGGAAAGAGAUGAUCCACUUAGAGCAGAAAUUGGCUGGGUCUCUUCCAUCAUCCACCCCAGAGUGCCACUGGAGAAGCUCCAACACCUUCACCUUCAGAUGCCAGUGGGUAUGAGUGGGACUCUAGCCAGGUUGGGGGGGGGGGGCUGGUAUAAUUCCUUCCCAGAAUAGUGACAACCUAAGAGCAGACUUUAUUCCACCAGUCAGACAUCCAGCAUCCUUCAUGUGAAGCAGUGACAUGACCCUCCCUGUUCUACAACCAGCUCUUACUCCAUCAUCCCUUCUUUCCCUCAGGAUUGGCGAUCAGUUGUCAGGUGCUGAGGCCAGCUGUCACUACUCUGAUACUGAACAGCCUGGAUGGAGAGUGACAUGGAGGAUCUGUGGGUGGAGCCCCAAGUAAUAGUAUCCCAAGCAUGCACAGGGACUCUGUUCUGUCUUUUACCUCCCUAACCCCUACCCCUGCCUGAGCUCCUCCUACCCACCUCUACCAACCUUCUACUCCCUCUGCGCCUCCAUGUUGCAGCCAAGGCAUGUCCUUACCUGCCUGCUCAGAUGGCCCUGGAGGCUGUGGGUGCUGGGACUGUAGCCUGGCAAUGUGGGGCAGGGUGAGGCUGGACAGAGGCCUGGACAGCAGAACUUCUGGCCCCAGGACAGACCUGACCUGGCCCUGCACUCCUUGGGGCCACCUUAGCUACUCCUGUGCGCACACAUACCCCCUUGGCCCCGCAGCCUAGCCCUUUUGGGUCUCUCGUGACUAAGGAGGAAGGAGGAGAGGGGAAGGGACAAGGGCAGAGUCGUCCCUGUGGGCUUCAUCAAGCCUGAAGCCCUGUACUAUAACUAUACAAAAAGGGAAGGCUUAGCCUCGCCCCCGCCCCCAACUAACUCCUGGUCUCUGUCCACUGAGAAGGAAGGCCCCAAACCUGGACACUUCCAGAUGCUGCCCGUGGUGCCACACCCUGGUGUGGUUUCUGCAGGGCCUCUUUUUCCUCUAACUCUGAGGUCACCACUGUUGGAGGUAGAAAAUUAGUAAAAUAAAGUAAAAGAAGAUAAAAGUAGGUGGGCUCCGCCCAUAUGUGCUUUGCGCUCGGUUCUCAGAGAGACUUCUGGCAUUCACAGAUGUUUGCUCUUCAGAUUUGGCCUCCUGCCACCAAGAAGCUCCGCCUGGCUCUCCCUUCCAUGUUCCCCAUGUCUCCCCAUGUCCUGGGAUUCCCCCUGCCUGCCAGGCUCUGGGGCUGCUCCCAGUUGCCUGGUGUUUGAUGGCGUCUUACCCCCCUGGACACUGCAGAAAGAGCAAGGGCCUAAAUGGGAUUGACUCCCAUGGGAGCCUCCCCCUCCGCUGUCCCUGUCUGCCAUGGAAAGGAGUGAGCCAGGAAGAGAGAAGCUACACACGGCAGAGCACACACCCAUACCCACCACACACACACACACACACACACACACACACCACACACACAGGUGGGGGUGGGCUGUCUGAAUAGCUAGGUUGGGCCUGUCCCUGGCUGUCAUCUGUUCAGGAGGGUUAAGCUGUUUGGUGCCCCAGAAACCCAAAGAAGCUUCCAGAGCUGACCAAUGCCUAGCCAGAAGGAGGGGCUGUGGCUGGAGGGGGAGCUGCCCACAGGUCUGAUCCAGGACUGACUUCCUCCUCCCGCAGCCUCUGUGGAUUCAAGGAAGAUUCAGCGGCCCCUCCUGCUCUUCCUACGACUAUGGCUACUGCUGUCACCAGCCCAGACCCCCUUCCUGCCCGCCCCCCUCCGGAGGCGCCAACCAGCCUCUGCCCCAGCUGGUUUAUUUUUAGCUCCUGCCCUGCCUGACACUGCCUUGGAUUUUGCACUGGGAUCUACCCGAAGCCCUUCCUAGGGUAGGCAGGCUUUGACCACCGGAGGGCACAGGGAGGGCUUCCUUCCUUGUGAUUCUAGGAAGUGGCAGGAAGAGUGGUAUUCCUGACCUUCCUGACCAACUGAGAGAUGGAGCCUGGGAGUGGGGCCCAAUGAAGCCCAUAGCAGAACAGAUUCAGUGUCCACAGCUAGAGGGGACAGUAGAGGCUGAGGAGCUGGAAUGUCAGUCUGAAGAGAGCAGUUGCAGUCACAGCAUGAGGCCUAGUCUGUAGGGCAUAGGUGGGAAUCACAAGUUGGGACCAUAGCAGUCUGAGGGUGGACAUUAGGACAGAGAGGCAGCUGCUCAUAGAAACAAGGGGCAUGUGCUGAUUGGACUCUACGGGAGACAUGAUAGCAAGGCCCAUGUAGUGGUAGUGACGGGAUAGUCCCAGGUAGGAGGGAGGAAGAGGGGUUGGGGCAGACGGGCCUGAGAGGUCCAGGGUUUCUGGAGCACAGGACUGGGUCCUCAUGCUCCCAACCUUGCAGAAGGGUUACAUCCUUGCACAGGAGAGGGUUUGAGAGAUGAGUGCACACACGGCAGGAUGCACACUCAGCAACACUUACUCUGGGACAGAUCUAUGCAAGUCAUACAGCUCAUCAAGAAGGUCCCUGGAAGAUCAGCGGGAAGCCACACAAAGCAUGUCCACCUUCUUCAGUCCUGCAUGGAACGGGAAGGCCAGGACCCAGCAGGUGACACCAGCAGUGAAGACACCAGCCCAUGGGGGCCCUGGAUGGACCUUGUCAAGUAUGAGUCUUUCCCGGUAGCCACUCACCGCAGAGGUCCAACCUGACCAUUUGAGGGGCUUGCUGAGUGGUUGGUACAAUGAGUGGGUUUUAUUUAGUGUGUUCACAGACAGGCACACACAACACUAUAGUCUAUUUGAUGACAUCACCAUGUCCUCUGAAGGAAAAUCCGUACUUUUUAACUGUGUUACCCCCAGACCUCAAUGGCCACUACUCUGACUUCUGCCACAAGAGUCAUUCUAUCCUAGACGUUCAUGUCCUGUGUCCAUGGAGUCACACUGCACAUGGUUUGGGUCUUCAUCCCCUGAGUGUGUUACCAAGGUUCAUCCACGUUACCUGUAUACUUCCACGCUCCAGCCUUUCUAAGCCUGAAGAAUGCUCUGUCAUGUGGGCGUGCCACAUUUCACAGUAAGAUUUUUGUUGUUUGGGUCGGUGUUUUUCUGAAGUGAUAGAAAUUGAACCCAGGGUGAUGCACAGGCUGGGAACAUCCUUUAUCUCUAACGUGCCCCCACAACACCCCCAUUCUGCUGACCCGACAGCCCAUCUGUUGAUAGACCUUGCGCCAUUGUGAAUUAAGCUGCCAAGAACGCUGGUGCACGGGUUUCUGUGUGGACAGGGGUUUGUAUAUGGUCACUGGGUCCUGUGGGUCGCAGCUACAUGUCAUUUUCAGACAGCAGCCAUGGUGGUGACUUCCAGUGACAGGGGAGCCACUGUGGCCAGCUACCAGCUCUAUUAAGGGCAGGACUGAGCUGUGCCUUGGCUCCCAGGUCUCAGACUUGGAGGCAUCCAGCCCACAAGACCAGAUUAGCUGCUAAGGGUGGUCGCGAGGGAUGGUAACCCUAGCGGGAGGCCCAGCCAGGCACUCUAGAUAUUCCUGCUGCAGACAUGCUGUUCUGAGUGCCUUAGGCCAGUGCUGAGGCAGGAGGCACAGUCUUGCAUGGUGUCCCGGGUUCAUGGUAGCAUGCUUUCGGGGUAGCACCCAGGACGGCACUAGAUUCAGAGUCAUCCCCUUCCUUGCGCUGAGCUUCCUCCUGUGCUGGCAGUUUGGGGCCAGGGCACACACUCCCAGCCUCCGCGGUGAACACGGAGCAGGCAGAGUCUGGGCACACGGUACCUGCUGCAUUAAGCGCAGUCCACACUGGCCCUGCUGUGUCUUCUCCUGCCUGUAAUCUUAUCACACAUGGUUUAGGGUCUGCAGAAGGUGCGGCACGGUGCUGUUCUCAGCCUGGAGAUGGACUGGUUGUAAGUAUUCCGUCUUACACGUUGUUCCCUAGAGCUCCUGCUAACUGGCAGCAUUCCUACAGACAACAGGCCCCUUCUUGGCUUGGCAGCAUCCUCCUCACAUAUUGUACGUUUUCCUCUGAAAUGUUUAACGUGCUCAAGUCUAGCUUCAAUCACAUCAGCUCUAUGGCAGACUAAUCACUUAGCCUGAUUGUUGAGCUGCAUUUGGUUCUGGGAUUUUUAAAACACAGAAGAAAACAACCCUACCAAGCUCCAUACCCACAGACCGCUGCGCAGCUGAUCCUUCACAGGAAAAUGUAUUGCCCUCUCUGGGGCUUUGUGGUUGGGUUAGUGUUUACUGGGAGUGAAAAUUGUUUUACCCACCAGCACAGUGCCUAGAAUGUUGGACAGAUGUUAAUUGUGUUAUCGAUGCCAAAACUGGAAACACCUUGCCCCUUCCCAGAGUUGAGCUUUUUGGUUUAAUUACUAUAACUGUGAUGGCUGAAACCGAAGCGCGUGUGCAUUCGGAACGGGAAACACUGAUGUUAGAAAGUAAUUUCAGAUCUGCAUGCAUAGCUGGGGAUGGAGAUAGCAGGUGUGUCAAAGAGCAGGGCUGCUGGCUGAUUCUGGCACGCGUGUGGGGGGAGGGGGUAGUGUGACGGUGCCUUCCAUGCAUGCCCAUGCUGUGUUUAUAGCUGGCGAUGAUUUCUCAUCUGCAGUGACUCCAUGAUUCCAAGCCUUAUUCCUUAAAUGCAGAGGCAAACAGCAGUCUGUUCCGGUAGACACAGGCUGCAGGUCAUUUGGUGGUGGACUUGCUGGCCUGGCCCAGGGCCUCUUUCCCAGACCCCUGCAUUGCUCCAAGGUGGUAUGUGUGGGUGGGUGGGGGACUGCUUUGGCAGCCAAGGGAUCUUUUUUAUUUCACAAUUAAUAGAUGCAAACACGGUAAUAGACUUAAUAUUUUAGAGUUGUCUUUGAUUUAUACAAAGUGAACUAAUAGUUGGGGAGUCCCGCGUACUUUUCGUGGUUCCCCUGUCCUUCACUUCUGGCAGUGGGGUGACUUGUCUGGCAGAGCUGGUAUCGACACUGUUACCGACAGCCAUCUGCUCACCACAUGAGAGUGGACUCUCUCUCGGAGCUGCACAUUCAAUGGGUUUGGGCAUAGUCACACUGUCACAUCUUCCAUUGCAGCAUCAUACACAAGCCUCUGUCCACAAAUUCUGCAAUCCACCGUUUCAAGUGAACAAACACACAAGACCACGAAGAGCUCCAGUUCCAGUGGCACAUUUGCUAAAACAUCAACAGCACAGGUGUGGGGAAUAGUGAUGUGUUUACUCCAAGGCGCACUGGGUAUCAAAGACCCAUAUUCCUCAGACCAUCCCCGUGGCUUUGAGCCUGGAGUGAGAGUGGGCAGCGCUUGAAAUACUCAAGGCAACGAUAAAGUGAGGUGACCGCAUGUUAUCUACUGGAAAUGAAGUUCCAAAGCUGCUAAUAUUCUCAAGAGAAGGAAAUGACUAUUUGAGUCAGAAAUCAGUGAACAUAAAAUGUUAGUUUUCCUUGUCCAAGUUCCUAGUCCCCAUGGAUUAAGUCUCUACUCUAUAGACAUAUGGAAAUAUUGUGAAUCAGAAGAAAUAAAAUGCUAACAGGGAUAAAAAAAUGUGUUUUCAAAAUCAAACAUGCUGUUUUUGAAACUCCACCUUCAUUAGCACCAGGUGGGCUUUGACUGCUGUCUGCACAAUGGCUCAGUGAAUUCACUGAUCUGCCCUGAGAAAAAGCAGAUUGAUGAGGAGAAGCUGAUUACGCUCAGUGGCAGGAGGUGUGAUUAAUGCCUACUCACACAGCAACCAGGAUGGUUCCAUUUCACUGUCUUCCCGUGACUCAAAGACAGUGGCUAAGAACCCCAAGAGGGAAAGGGAGAAAUCCAUUCCAGGGACCCCAGGCAUCCAACAAGCAUCAAGUGUCACUGGUCGCUGCAUGCUGGAGGCCUAAGAAGUUGGUUGCAGGAGCUCCACCAUCAUCAAUAUCAUCAUUAUCUUCAUCUUCACCACUAUCACCAGAACCAUGGUCUUACCACCAUUAUCACCAUCAACACCUCCAUCAUCUUCGCUAACACCAUAUCACAAUCACCUCUAACAUCAUCUUCAUUAGCACUUUGAACUCCAUCACCGUCAUCAUAACCAUCAUCUUUGACACCCUCAUCUUCAACCUAAGCACGAUCACAACCAUCUUCAUGUCUUCAUCAUCACCACCAUCAUGACCGUGACCUUUAUCAGGGUCGUAGUCACUGUCAUUACUGCUGGCAAGCCAGGUAGAUGAGGUGGGGGGGGGGGGCUGACUCCUAUUGAUCAAGACCCCACGUAGAGAAGUGUGUACUGUGUGAACGGACAUACAGACCCAGAGAAGGGAGAAUACUGACGUAGAAAGGAAGUGACAGGGUGGCCCUGAGAGUCCUGCCAGCACUAGGCAUCCUUGUUCUUGGUGGUGUUUCAGACUGUGCAGUUGCCCAGGGCCUCCACGUUCUGCCCUCCCAGGUCCUCUUCUGCUCUCUCCUACCCUGUCUAUUCAUUCUGCAUUUUCUACCCUUGUUUUUUAAACUUCCUACCUUCAGGAAGCACAUACACUCCCUGCCCCCUGCAGGUCUUAGAACUCAGGGCCAGCCAGAGCCAGGGGUUGGCAUCCAGUGUAGGAAGAAAAUAGAGUUGGAAUUCUGCCUAUAAAUGUCUCCAUCCCUUUUCUGGUGACUGAUACUCCAUCCACACAGAGCUCUCGGCUUGCGGAUGCUCUGGGGAUCAGAUAUGCCAAAGACCCUUCUAGUUAGAAGGGUGGGGUCUACUGCAUGCUCAUUCCAGCCUUCCAUGAUUAUCAUUCUGAGCCAUCCACUGCUUGCCGGCAUCCAGGCCCCCUGGAAGCCACCCCUAUGCCCCACAGAAAGCCCCGAUGGCAGGCCCUGACAUGUUUUGUACCCUGUAGCUUGGCAACCAUGGGAUAGAGUGGGCAUCCUGUCAACAUUCCUAGGACUCUCUCUCAUCCUCUAGCCCUGCCUGGUCUCCAUCAGCAUGUGAACUCACACUUAAGGUUACUCUGGGGCGAAACUGGGAAUGAGGCUCCCGUCAGGACCCCCCCCCCCAAGACUGUUGUUCCUUUCUGUGUGUACUGGGCCUCAUAGCUCUCUACCCUCAUCCUGCUCCUUCUGGGCAAAGUUGGACUGUAGGUCUCUUUCUUCAGAUCCUCCUUUCCAUGGCUUUUUCUCUUCUUUUUUAAAUCUCUAGUAAAACAGGUGUUUCAUGCACAAAAGCACUCUGUGGACACCACAGACCAGAGUGGAGACAGAUAGGUGGGAAGAGAGUACCCAUACCAGCUUUCUUUUUCAGGUUCUAGCACAAGGUACCAAGGGUAGCAAAACUUUGGGCUUAAAGGAGUGAUACUUGUCUACUUGGGUCCUUGAGGGAGCAUCUCCUCUUCAUCUGGCACAUCCCUGGUAGUUUGAGCUCCAGAUAGUCUCUGAGCUCAUCCAGCAUAUGCCCCAGGCCUCCCCAGGCUCUGCAAGACAUGGUGGUGACAGCGUUUCCUAGGAAACUGCAGCUAGCUGCCAGACCAACACGCCUGUGCCCCUUGGGGCUUCAGUGGGUGUAGGCUGGGAUGCUCCAGAGGGAAGGUCUGAGACUUCCUGGCUGCAGCCUCAUGGGCCCAGAGCCAAGCUUGCUACCAGCCAGCAAUGCACCACUCCUGCCCUGGAGCCUUCAGGGCUCCCAGGCACUGGACACCUACUCAACCAGCUGACAUCCUGCGGUUGCUGAACACGACCUGGGCGGGAGACUCCACGGCACUCAAAAGCAAGGAUCCAGGAAGCCUCUCAUUUAGUGGGGAUUAUGACAGACAGCAAGGGCCCUCAGGGAUUCAGAUCCCAGGGAACACCCCACAGGACUGUCUCCUAUAUGAGUCUGGAUCCUGUCAAGUUGACGACAUGAACAGUCACCGGCAGUGAUUGCAGCCAUGAAGCACCCUGUUCUCCAAAGUGCAGGCCCAAGCUGUUCCUCAACAGUGCCCAGCCCUUCCUGAAUGCUCCUUGUGUUGCUCUGUUCUCACUUAAAACUUGUAGCUGUUCUUUAUAAGCUAUGAAGAAGCAUAAGGAUGGAGCUGAAGAGAUGGUUCAGUACUUAACAGUACUUCCUGCUCUUCCAGAAGACGUGUUGAGGUGCUAACAACCGCCUGUAACUCAAGCUCCAGCGAUUUAAUGCUGACUUCUGGACUCCUUGGCACCUGCACACACCGAGAACAUAUUCUUACUGUCAAUAAAAAUAAAUCCUUAAAAAAAGAGAAAACAUAAGGAAACAUUCUUAAAAGAAAAUUAAAAUUACCCACAUUCAAUUC
Peromyscus californicus insignis is the source of this 10060-nucleotide long non-coding RNA. RefSeq lists it as uncharacterized. The record is from RefSeq and is a predicted model, not a curated record. The transcript is spliced from 4 exons. NCBI's taxonomy places the organism in Eukaryota, Metazoa, Chordata, Mammalia, Rodentia, Cricetidae.